RNAcentral lists this long non-coding RNA (498 nucleotides) under Heterocephalus glaber (naked mole-rat). Its description in RNAcentral is "lncRNA (ENSHGLG00000034026.1)". The record is from RNAcentral. Lineage: Eukaryota; Metazoa; Chordata; Mammalia; Rodentia; Bathyergidae.
AGAGCAAGCCGGGAGGAGAGCCAAGGGCAAGAAGAGCGACUCCAAGAGGAAAGGCCGGGAGGGUCCCAAGGGCAGCAGCCCGGAGAAGAAAGAGAAAGUGAAGGCCGGGCCCGACUCGGUCCUGGGGCAGCUGGUGUCAAGACGGGAACAACCUGGAUGUCUAAAAAGAGGCCCUGAGCCGGGUGUGGUGACACACACCUGUAAUCCCAGCACUCUGGAGGCUGAGGCAGGAGGAUCACCUCCAGUGAGAGGCCAGCCUGGGCUACAUACUCGUGUUUUUCCCUGUGCUUUGCCUCAAGCUGAGGGAGGAGCUGCUCGUGAGGAUGCAGUGCCCCCUGGUGGCUGGAGGGCCUUUCCCUUCUUCCCCUGGGCUUGAUUGAAUGCUGACCUCUGGUCCCCCGAAGUUCUUACCAACGUUUGAGCCAGGAGCUCGCUGUUUCAUUUGUCCUUCACUCUGCAGCUGACCCUGCCAGGCCAGGGUAGGGGCCUGCUUCUGGG